This 253-nucleotide ribosomal RNA is filed under the name uncultured bacterium. RNAcentral describes it as "partial 16S ribosomal RNA". It matches the Rfam family "Bacterial small subunit ribosomal RNA", at positions 524 to 776 of the family's 1533-position model. The record is from RNAcentral.
UACGGAGGGUGCGAGCGUUGUCCGGAAUCACUGGGCGUAAAGGGCGCGUAGGCGGUUGGGGAAGUCCGUGGUGAAAGCCCGUGGCUCAACUACGAGUCGGCCAUGGAUACUCCUUGACUUGAGCACUGUAGAGGCUAAUGGAAUUCCGGGUGUAGCGGUGGAAUGCGUAGAGAUCCGGAAGAACACCGGUGGCGAAGGCGGUUAGCUGGGCAGUUGCUGACACUGAGGCGCGACAGCGUGGGGAGCAAACAGG